CCUACGGGUGGCUGCAGUUUCGAAUCCUUCACAAUGGGCGAAAGCCUGAUGGUGCGACGCCGCGUGAGGGAUGAAGGCCUUCGGGUUGUAAACCUCUGUCACCGGGGAAGAAACGCUUCAAGUUAAUAGCUUGAAGCCUGACUUAACCCGGAGAGGAAGCAGUGGCUAACUCUGUGCCAGCAGCCGCGGUCAUACAGGGACUGCAAGCGCGAUUCGGGUUCACUGGGCGCAAAGUGUGCGAGGCGGGCCAGCCCGGGGCGUAACCCCGGAAUUGCACCUCAAACUACAUGGCUAGAGCAUUGGAGAGGGUAGCGGAAUUCACGGUGUAGCAGUGAAAUGCGUAGAUAUCGUGAGGAACACCAGAGGCGAAGGCGGCUACCUGGACAAUUGCUGACGCUCAGGCACGAAAGCGUGGGGAGCAAAAGGGAUUAGAUACCCGUGUAGUC
This 446-nucleotide ribosomal RNA is filed under the name uncultured bacterium. RNAcentral's name for it is "partial 16S ribosomal RNA". It matches the Rfam family "Bacterial small subunit ribosomal RNA", at positions 338 to 795 of the family's 1533-position model. The record is from RNAcentral.